ACGAACCGUGCGAACGUUGUUCGGAAUCAUUGGGCUUAAAGGGCGCGUAGGCGGGGUCGUCAGUCUGUGGUGAAAUCCUCUGGCUCAACCAGAGAACUGCCGUGGAUACUGCGACUCUCGAGGGGUGUAGGGGCAUGUGGAACUCAGGGUGGAGCGGUGAAAUGCGUAGAUAUCCUGAGGAACGCCGGUGGCGAAAGCGGCGUGCUGGACACCUUCUGACGCUGAGGCGCGAAAGCCAGGGGAGCAAACGG
This 251-nucleotide ribosomal RNA is filed under the name uncultured prokaryote. RNAcentral's name for it is "partial 16S rRNA". It matches the Rfam family "Bacterial small subunit ribosomal RNA", at positions 525 to 775 of the family's 1533-position model. The record is from RNAcentral.